AAUUGUUAUGCUAUUAGAUUAUUCUUAAAUCAUGAACUUAGAACGAAAUGUUUAUUCAGUUAUAAUCAUUCAAUAACAUAGUGUUAUUAUCUUUUAUUCAACUAAUCCUUAGUUGAUGUCCGUUGAACUCCAAAUUACCUUGAAUUGUAUCCAAACCAAACAGACUUUGGAGCAGACUUGUACUCUAAAUACUGAGACGAACAACCCUAUUUUUAGGGGUUGCACCUAGUUUUAUACUUUGUGCUGAAAUGUUUGUAUACAAUACAUGUACAAAGGAUUGAUACCCCUAAGUACCUUUGAGUCCUUGUAGUCGUAUGAUUGUUAUAGUUAAAGUUGAAAGAUUACUUAUAACUGUGGACAAGGUUCGUGGUUAUUAAACCCUCCGUGAAUGUUUUGAUUAAUGGAAUGUUAAUAGAACAUAUUGUUCAGUUCUAUUAAGCCUAGUAUUUAUCAAGUGAUGUAAAGGUUAAAGCUUUAUUUAUUGUUAUUUUAGUUACUCACUCUUGCCUGUAAAAUUUCUUACACCUAAAGCUGAUAAGGGUGACUUACCUAGCACCAGUAAGGGAAAAUGAAAGAUAAACAAGUACUGAAGACUUGUAAUAGUUUUGAUAGUUUUAUUAUCAGACUUUGGUUUAAAGAUUGUAAUGAAGUUUAUUUAAUUUUCCACAUGAAUGAUUUUUGUAAAGGUUAGAUAACCUUGGAGAUUUUAUUUAAUGUAAUCAUGUAUGGGCAAGUUUAUUUAUUCAAUUAUAUUAUGAUUGGGUAGUUAGAUAUGAAUGUUUUGAUUAAGUGAACACCAAAUCUUGAGGAAAUGACGUUUCGGUAUUUAGGGGUGUCACAAGUUGGUAUCAAAGCUUUAGGUUAUGAACUUUAGGUGGGGGAAAAGCCUUAGGAAGUAACCUUUGAAAAGAUAGUUGAGAUCUCUUAUCGAGUUUUAAGGAAGAAGUAAUAACACACUUAUGUGCUUAUGUGUUUAUAACUUAUGUGCUCGUGAGUGUCGAGUAGAAUGAUUAAUAAUUAAAAAUUUGUUGUCAGGAUGACUAAUGUUGGAG
This 1052-nucleotide long non-coding RNA is filed under the name Panax ginseng (ginseng). RNAcentral's name for it is "long non-coding RNA (PGIN_LNC008706)". Lineage: Eukaryota; Viridiplantae; Streptophyta; Magnoliopsida; Apiales; Araliaceae. The record is from RNAcentral.